Molecule: ribosomal RNA, 449 nt
Filed under: uncultured bacterium
Lineage: Bacteria
Description: bacterial SSU rRNA
Rfam family: Bacterial small subunit ribosomal RNA
Source: RNAcentral
UGGGGAAUCUUGCGCAAUGGGCGAAAGCCUGACGCAGCGACGCCGCGUGUGGGAUGAAGGUCUUCGGAUUGUAAACCACUGUCGGGAGGGACGAAGCUCUGACGGUACCUCCAAAGGAAGCACCGGCUAACUCUGUGCCAGCAGCCGCGGUAAUACAGAGGGUGCGAGCGUUGUCCGGAAUCACUGGGCGUAAAGGGCGCGUAGGCGGCCUGGUAAGUAGGGGGUGAAAUCUCAUGGCUCAACUGUGAGGCUGCCUUCUAGACUGCUGGGCUUGAGCACGGUAGAGGCUGGUGGAAUUCCCGGUGUAGCGGUGGAAUGCGUAGAGAUCGGGAGGAACAUCGGUGGCGAAGGCGGCCAGCUGGGCCGUUGCUGACGCUGAGGCGCGAAAGCGUGGGGAGCAAACAGGAUUAGAUACCCCAGUAGUCCCUGAGCGGGCUGGCAAGGCGCAU